Molecule: ribosomal RNA, 1346 nt
Filed under: uncultured bacterium
Lineage: Bacteria
Description: partial 16S ribosomal RNA
Rfam family: Bacterial small subunit ribosomal RNA
Source: RNAcentral
GACGAACGCUGGCGGCGUGCUUAACACAUGCAAGUCGAACGGAAAGGCCCUGCUUUUGUGGGGUGCUCGAGUGGCGAACGGGUGAGUAACACGUGAGUAACCUGCCCUUGACUUUGGGAUAACUUCAGGAAACUGGGGCUAAUACCGGAUAGGAGCUCCUGCUGCAUGGUGGGGGUUGGAAAGUUUCGGCGGUUGGGGAUGGACUCGCGGCUUAUCAGCUUGUUGGUGGGGUAGUGGCUUACCAAGGCUUUGACGGGUAGCCGGCCUGAGAGGGUGACCGGCCACAUUGGGACUGAGAUACGGCCCAGACUCCUACGGGAGGCAGCAGUGGGGAAUAUUGCACAAUGGGCGGAAGCCUGAUGCAGCAACGCCGCGUGCGGGAUGACGGCCUUCGGGUUGUAAACCGCUUUCGCCUGUGACGAAGCGUGAGUGACGGUAAUGGGUAAAGAAGCACCGGCUAACUACGUGCCAGCAGCCGCGGUGAUACGUAGGGUGCGAGCGUUGUCCGGAUUUAUUGGGCGUAAAGGGCUCGUAGGUGGUUGAUCGCGUCGGAAGUGUAAUCUUGGGGCUUAACCCUGAGCGUGCUUUCGAUACGGGUUGACUUGAGGAAGGUAGAGGAGAAUGGAAUUCCUGGUGGAGCGGUGGAAUGCGCAGAUAUCAGGAGGAACACCAGUGGCGAAGGCGGUUCUCUGGGCCUUUCCUGACGCUGAGGAGCGAAAGCGUGGGGAGCGAACAGGCUUAGAUACCCUGGUAGUCCACGCUGUAAACGGUGGGUACUAGGUGUGGGGUCCAUUCCACGGGUUCCGUGCCGUAGCUAACGCUUUAAGUACCCCGCCUGGGGAGUACGGCCGCAGGGCUAAAACUCAAAGGAAUUGACGGGGCCCCGCACAAGCGGCGGAGCAUGCGGAUUAAUUCGAUGCAACGCGUAGAACCUUACCUGGGUUUGACAUGGAUCGGGAGUGCUCAGAGAUGGGUGUGCCUCUUUUGGGGUCGGUUCACAGGUGGUGCAUGGCUGUCGUCAGCUCGUGUCGUGAGAUGUUGGGUUAAGUCCCGCAACGAGCGCAACCCUUGUUCACUGUUGCCAGCACGUUAUGGUGGGGACUCAGUGGAGACCGCCGGGGUCAACUCGGAGGAAGGUGGGGAUGACGUCAAGUCAUCAUGCCCCUUAUGUCCAGGGCUUCACGCAUGCUACAAUGGCUGGUACAGAGAGUGGCGAGCCUGUGAGGGUGAGCGAAUCUCGGAAAGCCGGUCUCAGUUCGGAUUGGGGUCUGCAACUCGACCUCAUGAAGUCGGAGUCGCUAGUAAUCGCAGAUCAGCAACGCUGCGGUGAAUACGUUCCCGGGGCU